Non-coding RNA from Chlamydiae bacterium SM23_39, 116 nucleotides. The record is from Rfam. Lineage: Bacteria; Pseudomonadati; Chlamydiota.
GGUGGAAGGCCCACCGAAGACGAUCACCAGAGAUAGUUUUCAAACUACCUCAAGCUGCUAUUGUAAAGAGCAAUGGUAGUGAGCAUUGAGGGAAAGUCAAACAAGAUUUGGCAAGU